RNAcentral lists this ribosomal RNA (421 nucleotides) under uncultured bacterium. RNAcentral describes it as "bacterial SSU rRNA". It matches the Rfam family "Bacterial small subunit ribosomal RNA", at positions 355 to 776 of the family's 1533-position model. The record is from RNAcentral.
UGGGGAAUAUUGCACAAUGGGGGGAACCCUGAUGCAGCGACGCCGCGUGAGUGAAGAAGUAUUUCGGUAUGUAAAGCUCUGUCAGCAGGGAAGAAACAGCGUCCCAAGGACGCGGGACGGUACCUGACCAAGAAGCCCCGGCUAACUACGUGCCAGCAGCCGCGGUAAUACGUAGGGGGCAAGCGUUAUCCGGAUUUACUGGGUGUAAAGGGAGCGUAGACGGCUGUGCAAGUCUGGAGUGAAAGGCGGGGGCCCAACCCCCGGACUGCUCUGGAAACUGUGCGGCUGGAGUGCAGGAGAGGUAAGUGGAAUUCCUAGUGUAGCGGUGAAAUGCGUAGAUAUUAGGAGGAACACCAGUGGCGAAGGCGGCUUACUGGACUGUAACUGACGUUGAGGCUCGAAAGCGUGGGGAGCAAACAGG